UCAACAGUCAGAGGCCAUUUGUGGAGACUC
Molecule: non-coding RNA, 30 nt
Filed under: Mus musculus (house mouse)
Lineage: Eukaryota; Metazoa; Chordata; Mammalia; Rodentia; Muridae
Source: RNAcentral